RNAcentral lists this ribosomal RNA (444 nucleotides) under Jesogammarus mikadoi. RNAcentral describes it as "partial 16S ribosomal RNA". Lineage: Eukaryota; Metazoa; Arthropoda; Malacostraca; Amphipoda; Anisogammaridae. The record is from RNAcentral.
CUGUGCUAAGGUAGCAUAUAUCAUUUGGCUUUUAAUAGGGGUCUGGAAUGAAAGGUCUAACAAAUAUUAGUUUCUUACUCGUAAAGAGUGAAUUUAAGAUUUAAGUAAAAACGCUUGAGUUGUUUGUGGGACGACAAGACCCUAAAAGCUUUAUUUUGGGUAUUGUUAUAUUUUUAAUAGUCAAUAGAGACAAGAAUUUGGUUGGGGUAAUAGCUCUAAAUAUAUUAGGGUAUUUUUAUAUAGUAUAAUUAAAUUUAGAUCCUUAUAAUUAGGAUAUUAGUCAUAGUUACUUUAGGGGUAACAGGGUGAUUAUUUUAUUAAGCUCUUAUUUAUAAAAUAGAUUGCUACCUCGAUGUUGAAUUAAUAUUUCUGCGAGAUGGAAAAGGCUCGUUUAGAGGGUUUGUUCAACCUUUAAUUUUUUACAUGAUCUGAGUUCAAACAGGA